This 522-nucleotide long non-coding RNA is filed under the name Homo sapiens (human). RNAcentral describes it as "long intergenic non-protein coding RNA 1214". Lineage: Eukaryota; Metazoa; Chordata; Mammalia; Primates; Hominidae. The record is from RNAcentral.
GAUUAACUGACCUCUUCCAUGUUCAAACCAUAUGUAAUUGUAAUUGAAUGGAAGUUAAACAUCUGGAAACCGUUAGGAUUGAAUAGCAAUGAAAGGCAGGAAGCACAAGACUAUGGAAAGUGAUUUUGAACAACCAGGUGGUCCCAAAGAUAACCAAUUGUUUAGAGCCUAGAGGAAAGGGAAGAACCCACAUCUACCAUGAAUGAAUAAAUGGCGACCUGGAAGCAUACUUCUGGUAGCAAUGGGGACACGGGUCAAAGGGGACUUGAGGUUAUCAGCUUUCAGAAUGAAGACACAUAAUCCCUAUUAGAGUGGAAGACUUAAAAUCGAGUUUGAGACCCACCUUCUGAAACUGCAGGCUCUUGGGAGCCUGAUUUCCGGUGAAGAGUGUUGCUGCUUUGCAUUUUUCACACUUGAACACAGUGAAGAAGAUGAACAUUAAUUAGGAUUAUAGUGCCAUGGAGGCUUACUGUGCUGUGAGAACUCACAAGAAAUAAAAUGCCAUUUCUUUUUUUGGAUGCA